UACGGAGGGGGCGAGCGUUAUUCGGAAUUAUUGGGCGUAAAGGGCGCGUAGGCGGCCAUGCGUGUCUUCCGUGAAAUCCCUCGGCUCAACCGAGGACGUGCGGAAGAAACUGCAAGGCUCGAGUCCGGAAGAGGGGGGCGGAAUUCCCAGUGUAGCGGUGAAAUGCGUAGAUAUUGGGAGGAACACCAGUGGCGAAGGCGGUCCCCUGGGCCGGAACUGACGCUGAUGCGCGAAAGCGUGGGGAGCGAUCCGG
RNAcentral lists this ribosomal RNA (253 nucleotides) under uncultured bacterium. RNAcentral describes it as "partial 16S ribosomal RNA". It matches the Rfam family "Bacterial small subunit ribosomal RNA", at positions 524 to 776 of the family's 1533-position model. The record is from RNAcentral.